GUAACAAUCUGAGAACAACAACAAAAAAGGGACACUUUAAAAUUUUAACAGCUGAAGACAAGUUUGUUAUAGAAGGUUUAUAGUAAAUGAGAUGGAGGAAAAAUAUUUAAAAAGCUGUUUUACCAGUCCCUGGGAGAAAAUUCCUUUCUGGGAUGCGUAUACACCGAGGCUGCAUGAAUCAAUACUUAAACCAUUUUUCACACCCAUAAUAUUCUGCACUGAGAUGGAACCAAGCUCAGAUGGAAGAGAAAUGAACCCACCUGAGUCACUGUUAUCUGUCCAGUACCUGGAUUUCAAGGCUCCAUUUUCCAUCUUGAGGUAUCUUCUCCAAUCAUGAUAAAUCUGGCUCCCGUUAUCCUCAAAAUAUUUACUACGUGCACAAGCAUAGAAUACAAAGAAAGCAAACAAUUGUUAACACUUAGUAUUGAAAAAAGGGA
This 437-nucleotide long non-coding RNA is filed under the name Heterocephalus glaber (naked mole-rat). RNAcentral describes it as "lncRNA (ENSHGLG00000047290.1)". Lineage: Eukaryota; Metazoa; Chordata; Mammalia; Rodentia; Bathyergidae. The record is from RNAcentral.